Molecule: ribosomal RNA, 253 nt
Filed under: uncultured bacterium
Lineage: Bacteria
Description: partial 16S ribosomal RNA
Rfam family: Bacterial small subunit ribosomal RNA
Source: RNAcentral
UACGGAGGGUGCAAGCGUUAAUCGGAGUUACUGGGCGUAAAGCGUGCGUAGGCGGUUCGUUAAGUCUGUUGUGAAAGCCCCGGGCUCAACCUGGGAAUGGCAAUGGAUACUGGCGAGCUAGAGUGUGUCAGAGGAUGGUGGAAUUCCCGGUGUAGCGGUGAAAUGCGUAGAGAUCGGGAGGAACAUCAGUGGCGAAGGCGGCAUCCUGGACCGGUAUUGACGCUGAUGCGCGAAAGCCAGGGGAGCAAACGGG